Molecule: microRNA precursor, 103 nt
Filed under: Canis lupus familiaris (dog)
Lineage: Eukaryota; Metazoa; Chordata; Mammalia; Carnivora; Canidae
Also listed under: 1 other name
Description: mir-8834 microRNA precursor family
Rfam family: mir-8834 microRNA precursor family
Source: Rfam by way of RNAcentral
AGGAGGAACAACCGCAGUGGGCCGCAGCUCUGGAAACCUGGAUUCAGCUCCCACAGGAACUCUGAAGCACUCCGUCUGCAGGGCCUGGAGGCUCCGGGGCGGG